Molecule: ribosomal RNA, 418 nt
Filed under: uncultured eukaryote
Lineage: Eukaryota
Description: SSU rRNA
Rfam family: Eukaryotic small subunit ribosomal RNA
Source: RNAcentral
CAAUAGCGUAUAUUAAAGUUGUUGCGGUAAAAAAGCUCGUAGUUGGAUUUCUGUUGAGGACGACCGGUCCGUACCAUGUACGCGCAUCUGGCUCGGCCUCGGCAUCCUCUCGAUAGACGUUUCUGCGCUUGAUUGCGUGGAGCGGAUUUCGGGACUUUUACUUUGAGGAAAUUAGAGUGUUCACGGCAGGCAACCGCCCGAAUACAUUAGCAUGGAAUAAUACUAUAGGAUCUCGAUUCUAUUUUGUUGGUUUCUAGGAUUGGGAUAAUGAUUAAUAGGGACAAUUGGGGCAUUCGUAUCAACACGUCAGAGGUGGAAUUCUUGGAUUGUGUUGCGACGAACUACUGCGAAAGCAUUUGCCAAGGAUGUUUUCAUUGAUCAAGAACGAAAGUAAGGGGAUCGAAGAUGAUCAGAUACC